This 1069-nucleotide ribosomal RNA is filed under the name Salmonella enterica. RNAcentral describes it as "partial 23S ribosomal RNA". It matches the Rfam family "Bacterial large subunit ribosomal RNA", at positions 430 to 1503 of the family's 2925-position model. The record is from RNAcentral. Lineage: Bacteria; Pseudomonadati; Pseudomonadota; Gammaproteobacteria; Enterobacterales; Enterobacteriaceae. RNAcentral also lists the same sequence under 2 other names.
UAUCCUGUCUGAAUAUGGGGGGACCAUCCUCCAAGGCUAAAUACUCCUGACUGACCGAUAGUGAACCAGUACCGUGAGGGAAAGGCGAAAAGAACCCCGGCGAGGGGAGUGAAAAAGAACCUGAAACCGUGUACGUACAAGCAGUGGGAGCACCCUUUGGGGUGUGACUGCGUACCUUUUGUAUAAUGGGUCAGCGACUUAUAUUCUGUAGCAAGGUUAACCGAAUAGGGGAGCCGGAGGGAAACCGAGUCUUAAUUGGGCGUUAAGUUGCAGGGUAUAGACCCGAAACCCGGUGAUCUAGCCAUGGGCAGGUUGAAGGUUGGGUAACACUAACUGGAGGACCGAACCGACUAAUGUUGAAAAAUUAGCGGAUGACCUGUGGCUGGGGGUGAAAGGCCAAUCAAACCGGGAGAUAGCUGGUUCUCCCCGAAAGCUAUUUAGGUAGCGCCUCGUGAAUUCAUCUCCGGGGGUAGAGCACUGUUUCGGCUAGGGGGCCAUCCCGGCUUACCAACCCGAUGCAAACUGCGAAUACCGGAGAAUGUUAUCACGGGAGACACACGGCGGGUGCUAACGUCCGUCGUGAAGAGGGAAACAACCCAGACCGCCAGCUAAGGUCCCAAAGUCAUGGUUAAGUGGGAAACGAUGUGGGAAGGCCCAGACAGCCAGGAUGUUGGCUUAGAAGCAGCCAUCAUUUAAAGAAAGCGUAAUAGCUCACUGGUCGAGUCGGCCUGCGCGGAAGAUGUAACGGGGCUAAACCAUGCACCGAAGCUGCGGCAGCGACGCUGAUGCGUUGUUGGGUAGGGGAGCGUUCUGUAAGCCUGUGAAGGUGGCCUGUGAGGGUUGCUGGAGGUAUCAGAAGUGCGAAUGCUGACAUAAGUAACGAUAAAGCGGGUGAAAAGCCCGCUCGCCGGAAGACCAAGGGUUCCUGUCCAACGUUAAUCGGGGCAGGGUGAGUCGACCCCUAAGGCGAGGCCGAAAGGCGUAGUCGAUGGGAAACGGGUUAAUAUUCCCGUACUUGGUGUUACUGCGAAGGGGGGACGGAGAAGGCUAUGUUGGCCGGGCGACGGUU